Molecule: long non-coding RNA, 598 nt
Organism: Jaculus jaculus (lesser Egyptian jerboa)
Lineage: Eukaryota; Metazoa; Chordata; Mammalia; Rodentia; Dipodidae
Exons: 3
Source: RefSeq, a predicted model, not a curated record
CGAAGUCAGCAGUCAUGGUCAAAGUCAGGUUCUCACAGACAUGUGUAAGUAAAGAGGCAAGGGCAGUAGAAAGCGUGAGUGAAUGGAAGCUUAGACAAAUCAGGGGCAGAGGGAAGAUGAUGGGGAUGCUGCAAAGACAGCACACGCAGAGCCGAGGCACACAACCUGGCAGAGAGCAUUGCACGUGCGUUGCUGAGGGAGCAGCCAGGGAGGAGAAGGCAGUUCUCACUCCUCCAUGUUCGUCACCAGGAGAACUCCUUUGAAGCAUUCUCAUCACAAGAGCUCUUCUGCUCAUGUCCACAUGACGGACACAUAUUGAAGCACAAGUUGAAUGGAUAUCACAACCUCAAACUCAGGAGAGAGAGAAAUUUAACCCUAAAGCUCUUCCAGAGAAAGAAAAGCUCCAGCAAAGAGAAAGACCAAUGUAGAGGUGCACUCCAGAAGUUCUGACACCCAUUUGUGACUUUCAACUUGAUAUGAAGAUAAUAUUUGGGCCUGGAUACCCAUGACCUUGCGGUGCCUGGCACUACCUACACAAGACCCUCAUACUAGGAAGAAAAGAUGAUGACAUCAAAAUAAAACAGAGGCUAAUUGAGAG